RNAcentral lists this ribosomal RNA (850 nucleotides) under Bacillidium sp. PLFB32. RNAcentral describes it as "bacterial SSU rRNA". The stretch from base 1 to 498 matches the Rfam family "Eukaryotic small subunit ribosomal RNA", at positions 1228 to 1831 of the family's 1831-position model. The record is from RNAcentral. Lineage: Eukaryota; Fungi; Microsporidia; Mrazekiidae.
ACUUGUUUGAGAUUGGCGGUUUGAGAGAACCCCCGAGAUUAUAAGGUAGGUGGUGCAUGGCCGUUUUCAACACGUGGGGUGACCUGUCUGGUUAAUUCCGUUAACGCGUGAGGCCCUGUAGGCAAUGAUGUUGCCUGACGGAUGGCGGCAAGCCAUAGGAAGUGGGGCCAUAACAGGUCAGUGAUGCCCCUAGAUGUUCUGGGCUGCACGCGCAAUACAAUGGCACGGUGAGACUAUGCACUGAGAAGUGUGUUCUAAUCCGUGCCGAAGCUGGGAUAAGCUCUUGUAAAUGAGCUUUGAACGAGGAAUUCCUAGUAAUCGCAAGUCAUUAUGUUGCGAUGAAUGCGUCCCUGUUCUUUGUACACACCGCCCGUCACUAUCUCAGAUGGAUGUAUUGAUGAAAUGGCUGGACGCAAGUAAGGCAGUUGAAUCAGUGCAACUAGAUAAGAUAUAAGUCGUAACAAGGCUGCUAUAAGUGAACUUGUGGCAGGAUCAUUAUCAAAUUAAUACACAACCGUUAUGCGGUAACACAAAUAGUAAAAUCAAUCCACUGAUAAGGGAUCUCUCGGUUUCUGUAUCGAUGAAGAACGCAGAAGCGUGCGAUAAUCGACAGUAUUCUUAGACGUGACUGCUCGGUCUUCGAAUGUGUGGCGUUGCCAUAGAAUACCCCUCGGACUUAAGCAUAUUAUUAAAGGGAGGAAAAGAAACUAACAAGGAUUUUCUCAGUAGUGGCGAAUGAACAGAAAACAGCCCUCAUGGUAAAACAGCGCAAGCUGUGUUGUAAUAACGCUAUAGCGAAGCUUUUAGGAAAAAAGCCCGAUACAUGGUGACAGGCCAGUAGCUAGUAGUU